Molecule: ribosomal RNA, 253 nt
Filed under: uncultured bacterium
Lineage: Bacteria
Description: partial 16S ribosomal RNA
Rfam family: Bacterial small subunit ribosomal RNA
Source: RNAcentral
UACAGAGGUCCCAAGCGUUGUUCGGAUUCAUUGGGCGUAAAGGGUGCGUAGGUGGCGCUGUAAGUCGGGUGUGAAAUUUCGGAGCUUAACUCCGAAACUGCAUUCGAUACUGCGGUGCUCGAGGACUGGAGAGGAGACUGGAAUUCAUGGUGCAGCAGUGAAAUGCGUAGAGAUCAUGAGGAAGACCAGUGGCGAAGGCGGGUCUCUGGACAGUUCCUGACACUGAGGCACGAAGGCCAGGGGAGCAAACGGG